GUGUGGUCCGGCUACUGUCUGGGAUGGGUGGUGAGGGAUUCUGGCAUCUUGAGGCUUAGUUUUCUGACUUGUCCUGUUUGUUCUUCUCUGCUGACAGACUACUCUUGUGCCAGUGGGACAAGUGAAUUUUGUAGGCAGAUAACCUGGUGAAUGCCAUGGCAGAGUCAUCAUCUGCCUUGGUGCCAUCUUCCAAGUCCCGCUUCUGCCUUUAACACACGUCAGCUAUGCUCGGAUGACUCACCAAAGCUGUUGGAAAAGACCACAGAGCCACCUGCUGACUCCAGGUUGUCCUCACAGGGCAGGUGGCUGUUCUUCCUCUAAGGCAAGUGCUGCUCUGAUUUUGACAAAAGACAAAAAGAGAUGUCAAACUAGAGCCGACCCGUAAGAGCAAAUCCCCUCUGAAAGAAGUUUGAAAUAUGUUCCUGGGAGAAAGCAAGCCGAAGGGGGAGAAUCGUGCCUGCUGGUAAAUGAGAAAGAGCGUGUAAUCAGGCGUACUUCACAAGAUUUAUUUUUAGAAGAGUUCAGCUCUCUCAAGAAAACUGAACGAAUGAUGAUGCUUUCUUUUUUGAGAAUACUAACAGAAGCAGCAUGACAGGCCCCUGGGGGGAAGACUUCUGGGAUUCCGAGUCCCUCCAGCAGAGCAGAUGGGCCAAGGAAAGAGGGCCAAGAAAAUGGCUUUGCCAAGGUUGCUCCGAGUCACUCAACUUGUUUAUAGCCUAUUCAAGUGGAAUGUUUCCAGUUCACAUGCCAUCUGGGCCAGGUCUUUGAACUUCAAAGAGCUACGGGAAAACAGAAUUAAAAGGAUUCAUUUAUUUAUUUGAAAGUUAAGGUUACAAAGAAAGAAAGAAGGAGAGAGUGAAUUCUUUGACCUGCUGGUUCACUCUCCAUAUGGCCGAAACAGCUGGGGCUUUGCCAAUCCUAAAUCAGGAGCCCA
Molecule: long non-coding RNA, 934 nt
Organism: Ochotona princeps (American pika)
Lineage: Eukaryota; Metazoa; Chordata; Mammalia; Lagomorpha; Ochotonidae
Exons: 4
Source: RefSeq, a predicted model, not a curated record